Molecule: non-coding RNA, 24 nt
Filed under: Arabidopsis thaliana (thale cress)
Lineage: Eukaryota; Viridiplantae; Streptophyta; Magnoliopsida; Brassicales; Brassicaceae
Source: RNAcentral
UACACCAAGGACUCGUCAGAGGAU